CUGAUGAUGGAGUACUGAGCCUCUCCAUCUAAUUGUCUGAUUAGCCUCUGCAGUUUCUCCCUAUUUCUUGACUUGAGCUCUGACAUGUAAGGACUCUGUCCUUCCCCAAGACAGAAAUCUGGAGGAAGAACCAUCUGCCUUGAACUGGAAGUCAUGCCUCUUGACUCAGAUCUGUUCGGGGAUGUGGCCAUACUUUUCUCCAGAGAGGAAUGGGAGUACCUGGAGCCUGUUCAGAGGGAUCUGUACAGAGAUGUGAUGCUGGAGAACUACAGUCAUCUGGUUUCGCUGGGUAAAG
Long non-coding RNA from Phodopus roborovskii (desert hamster), 295 nucleotides. RefSeq lists it as uncharacterized. The record is from RefSeq and is a predicted model, not a curated record. The transcript is spliced from 3 exons. NCBI's taxonomy places the organism in Eukaryota, Metazoa, Chordata, Mammalia, Rodentia, Cricetidae.